Molecule: ribosomal RNA, 1971 nt
Filed under: human gut metagenome
Description: bacterial LSU rRNA
Rfam family: Bacterial large subunit ribosomal RNA
Source: RNAcentral
UCAAGCUACAUAGGGCACAUGAAGGAUGCCUUGGCAUCAGCAGGCGAAGAAGGACGUGGCAAGCUGCGAUAAGCCUCGGGGAGCUGCAUACAAGCUUUAAUCCGGGGAUUUCCGAAUGGAGCAAUCCAACAGAAGUAAUGUUCUGUUAUCUGCAACUGAAUACAUAGGUUGCAGAGGCGAUACUCAGUGAAGUGAAACAUCUCAGUAACUGAAGGAAUAGAAAUCAACCGAGAUUCCGCAAGUAGUGGCGAACGAACGCGGAAUAGCCUAAACCGGCAGGUUUACCUGUCGGGGUUGCGGGACUUAGACAUGACAUGCGGCCGGUUAGCACAACCGUCUGGGAAGUCGGGCCAUAGAGGGUGACAGCCCCCUGUGCGAAAACUGAAAGCAGUCUAUAAGUAUCCCAAGUAGGUCGGCACACGUGAAACUCCGACUGAAUCCGGGGAGACCACUCUCCAAGGCUAAAUACUAGCUGAUGACCGAUAGUGAAACAGUACCGCGAGGGAAAGGUGAAAAAGUACCCCUUUUAGGGGAGUGAAAAGUAUCUGAAAUCAUGUGCCUGCAAAGUGUGGGAGCCCUUCUGGGGUGACCGCAUGCCUUUUGCAUAAUGAGCUUGCGACUUACUUUAAGCAGCCAGGUUAAGCCAUAGGCGGAGCCGAAGCGAAAGCGAGUGUUAACAGCGCGUCAAGUUGCUUGAAGUAGACCCGAAGCUGAGUGAUCUAUCCAUGGUCAGGUUGAACCUCCGGUAACACGGAGUGGAGGACCGAACCGGUGAGCGUUGAAAAGCUUUCGGAUGAACUGUGGAUAGGAGCGAAAGACCAAUCAAACUCAGUGAUAGCUGGUUCUCUUCGAAAUAUCUUGAGGGAUAGCCUUACGCCAUUGACUUACGGGGGUAGAGCACUGAUUGUCCGCGGGUCCUUACCGGGAUACCAACGACUGUCAAACUUCGAAUACCGUUAAGUUUUACCGUAGGAGUCAGACUGUGGGGGAUAAGCUUCAUAGUCGAGAGGGAAACAACCCAGAUCGCCGUCUAAGGUCCCUAAUUUAAGCUAAGUGGUUUGAAGGAUGUGAAGUUGCGUAAACAACCAGGAUGUUGGCUUAGAGGCAGCCAUCAUUUAAAGAUCGCGUAAUAGCGCACUGGUCGAGUGAUUUUGCGCCGAAGAUGAUCGGGACUAAGCUUAAAACCGAAGACGCGGAUGUACAGCAAUGUACGUGGUAGAAGAGCGUUGUAUGAGGAGCGAAGCGUGAAUGAGAAUGAGCGUGGACUUCAUACAAGUGACCAUGCAAGCAUGAGUAGCGAAAAACCGGAUGGAAAUUCCGGUCACCGUAAGACCAAGGUUUCCCGGGGAAGGUUCGUCCGCCCGGGGUUAGCCGGAUCCUAAGGCCAGGCCGAAAGGCGUAGUCGAUGGACAACGGGUUAAUAUUCCCGUGCCGCCUUAACGGAGUGACGGAGUGACGCAGUAUGCUAAGCGAGCUGGCUAUAUGCCAGUCUAAUGUCGUAGGACGUCAGGGGUUAAAUGACCUGACAUCAAGUCUGAAAACGGAUGGGACUCGAAGCCUUCGGGUAACGGGGAUUCGCUGAUGCUUUGCUGACGAGAAAAGCUCCUAAACGUUGAUGUUUUGGCGUCCGUACCGUAAACCGACACAGGUGGUCGAGGCGAGUAGCCUAAGGUGCGCGAGUGAAACCACUUCAAGGAACUCGGCAAAUUAGCCCCGUAACUUUGGGAGAAGGGGUGCCGAACGGGUGCAUAGCCCGGACGGUUUCAACAAAGAGGCCGCGGCGACUGUUUAACAAAAACAUAGCUCUCUGCUAACUCGCAAGAGGAUGUAUAGGGAGUGACACGUGACCAAUGCCGAAAGGUCAAUCGGAUCCGUUAGCAGAAAUGCGAAGCGGUGAUGUGAAGCCCCGGUGAAUGUCGGCCGUAACUAUAACGGUCCUAAGGUAGCGAAAUUCCUUGUCGGGUAAGUUCC